Gymnodraco acuticeps is the source of this 2562-nucleotide RNA transcript. RefSeq lists it as uncharacterized. NCBI's taxonomy places the organism in Eukaryota, Metazoa, Chordata, Actinopteri, Perciformes, Bathydraconidae. The record is from RefSeq and is a predicted model, not a curated record. The transcript has 8 exons.
AUCAAAGAGCUUGCAAGAGCCAUUGUGCACCUAAAUGUAACUCUUGACAUAAUAUAGAUAUAAUAUAGAUAUAGUAUAGAACCGGGACGCCCUACACGCAGAUCACACAGACUGGGUGGGGUCUCACGCCCUCACCUCGUGGAGGGGGCCUCAACUGAGCCGCAAAUGCGAUGCAGUGAUAAAAAGGAAAUCAAAUGUAAAAAGUUAAAUUAAAAUAUUAAAACAGCAACACAACAUUAUUCUCAUAUUAAAAGACAGUCUGAAGAGGUGUGUUUUGAAGGUGGGGGGGUCGGUGCAGUCUCUGAUGUUUAAUGGGAGUGAGUUCCAGAGGGAGGGGGCAGCGAUGGAGAAAGCUCUGUCCCCCCAGGUUCGGUGCUUGGUUUGUGGGGGGAUAGACAGGAGGUUGGCUUCUGAUGAGUUAAUUGAAAGACCGUUCUUUAAUACUAUUAUAAUAUUUAGGUAGCCGAAAAAUAUCCACUCUUUUUGACUUAACCUAGCUGUCCUACAUUUUAUUUCUCUACAGAUGUACUGUCCAUUAUGUGGUUCCAGCGUGACAUCUUCGCAUGGCUUUUGUGGUGUCUGUGGCAGAGACAUCACAUUUCUAAAAGAUGUGACUAACAAAGUCCCUGAGGAGAUGCCCACCACUAGUGUGCAUCUAAGUGCACAGCCUAGCACCAGUGCAGCAGGAAGCUCAGCUGUAGAGUCCUUUCAGAAAUAUAGGGAAAUAAAAAAGAGGGAGAGACCUUUUUUACGAAGGGACGGCAUAACUCCAAAAAUAAACAGAAAUUGGUGAAGAUUUCUGUUGGAGUAAUGAGGAGGAUGGAUGGCUGCCUUAAACCUGUGAGAGGGAGGUCACUUCCCCUUAAUGUUGAACCUCAAUGGGCAUGUGAAGAACUGUUGGCUGCUGCCAUAAAAAAGCAGAAAGCCUUUAACCAGGACUUGGAAGAUGGUGCCCAUGUCUUGUUGUACCCUGAUGCGAGGGUGAUAACAAAUAUCCCCGGAACGGACACCCCUUUCACAGUACAGAUGUACAAUGAGGCCAUUGGAAAGCCCUACCAACGAAUUAUGUUGUACAUCUGUACUCUUGAAGCCGUUGAAAACAGUUGUUACACUGGAACAACCUCUUCAAGUGACGAGGACAGUGUGGUUGUUGCAAAGUUGCCAUCUGGAGACAGUCUUGCUGACACCGUGGUCAGUUUGGAUCUAUCGUGGCAUUUAUUCUUAAUUAAAGUGAAUUUAUUUUAUUUCAGUCAGUCAUUUGUGUGUUGUAUGCAGGUGUGGGACUUUCCAAAUGAACAGAGCACUCCCAGAAUGGACAACAGUUUGCCAGGGUCAAAUAAAACAUUGUCAACAUGUUAUUUUGUGCCACAAGAAGCAGAAUGUUUUAACAGUACAGUAGUUUGAAUAUAUUUUUUGUUUACCUUUAUCAGACCUCUCAGGCACCCACAACCAGCGUCUGAUCGGUAGGAUGGAGAACCAACCCCAUUCCAGGAAGAGGUCCAGUCUGCCCCGGGUCAGAACACCUUCUAUAGGUAAACGAUGUUGACAGUUGCAUCGUGACACAGUUGUUUGCAACUACACAACUGUGUAUGCACUUAUCAUUAUUGACAGCCAGUCUGAGCCAGAAGAGGAAACGGAGCAAACUGCAGAGGAAAUCACAGAAUACCUGACUGAGCCAGACAUUGUUGCAGAACUCUCUGCAAAAAUUAAAAAUACCUCUUGCAGCAGGUUCAAUAUUAAUAGAGCCAAUGUGUGGGAUGGAGCAAUCCGCGGCUUCAAAGGGGCCUCAUUCGACCGCUCUCAUCAGAUGCAGGUUAAGUUUACUGAUGAUGAGGGACAAACUGAGGAUGGAGUGGACACUGGUGGUCCCAAGCGUGAGUUCCUGACCCUCCUAAUGGAAUGCCUGAGAAUGAGAAGAAUAUUUGAUGGUCCACAGGACAGGAAAUUCCUCAAGUUCAACAAUGCAGCUGCAAAAGAUGACGAAUACUUUCAUGCUGGGAGGAUGAUUGCAACUUCUAUAGUUCAAAAACACAAGGAGAAAAAGAAGAAAACAUCAUGUCAUGGCUCACUGUCUCAAAAUCUGAUUCUAAAUGUAUAAUGUUCUUUAUAAAGAUAUAACUAAUACACAAUUAUGAAUGUAUAAUAUAAGCUGUUUUGUGUAUUUAAUCAUGCGUUGGUCUACAAUUUAAUGAUGGCUUCUACAUAUUUCACAUAAACAGACAAUGAAAAAAUGUGUCCUUCAUGCUGAUAACUAGUGUGUGCAUCUGCAAUUAGUAUUCUAAACAGAGUAGUGUGUUGAAUCCUUAUUUCUUGCAUUUGAAACAGAUACAAUAAAAAAAGUGAACUUACUGUUGUGUUCAACUUCUGCCAAAAACUGUACAUGUUUGCCACAGGAGCCACAGAACACUUGAACUGUCCCCAGAUGUUGGCCACAGUAAGGACAAAACAUGGCAGCCUGAAAAGACAUACAUUGAUGUAGUAAAUCCAUGUAAUCAAGUCAAUCAAAAACACAUAGUCUAAAUAGUGGUUAGCUAAAUAAAUAGAUACAUCAUGUUCACCGUU